GGUUGUCUAGUUUAAAUUUCAAAACACUAGACUGUCAAACUAGAGAUGCUUAUUAAGUGACACCCU
This 66-nucleotide transfer RNA is filed under the name Nesophrosyne sp. 246 GMB-2012. Its description in RNAcentral is "tRNA-Asp". It matches the Rfam family "tRNA". Rfam says of the family: Transfer RNA (tRNA) molecules are approximately 80 nucleotides in length. Lineage: Eukaryota; Metazoa; Arthropoda; Insecta; Hemiptera; Cicadellidae. The record is from RNAcentral.